CCCGGCGACCGGCGCACGGGUGAGUAACACGUAUGGAACCUGCCCGCAGCAGGGGGAUAAGCGGAAGAAAUUCCGUCUAAUACCGCGUAACACCGCAGAGGGGCAUCCCUCGGCGGUUAAAGAUUCAUCGGCUGCGGAUGGCCAUGCGGCGCAUUAGCUAGUCGGCGGGGUAACGGCCCACCGAGGCGACGAUGCGUAGGGGUUCUGAGAGGAAGGUCCCCCACACUGGUACUGAGACACGGACCAGACUCCUACGGAAGGCAGCAG
Molecule: ribosomal RNA, 267 nt
Filed under: uncultured bacterium
Lineage: Bacteria
Description: partial 16S ribosomal RNA
Rfam family: Bacterial small subunit ribosomal RNA
Source: RNAcentral